GUCCACGCCGUAAACGAUGGAUACUAGCUGUUGGGAUUUAUCUCAGUGGCUAAGCGAAAGUGAUAAGUAUCCCACCUGGGGAGUACGUUCGCAAGAAUGAAACUCAAAGGAAUUGACGGGGGCCCGCACAAGCGGUGGAGCAUGUGGUUUAAUUCGAUGAUACGCGAGGAACCUUACCAAGGCUUAAAAUGUAGUUUUACAGAUUUGGAAACAGAUCUUUCUUCGGACAAAUUACAAGGUGGUGCAAUGGUUGUCGU
RNAcentral lists this ribosomal RNA (257 nucleotides) under uncultured bacterium. RNAcentral's name for it is "partial 16S ribosomal RNA". It matches the Rfam family "Bacterial small subunit ribosomal RNA", at positions 793 to 1055 of the family's 1533-position model. The record is from RNAcentral.